Molecule: small RNA, 718 nt
Filed under: Pan troglodytes (chimpanzee)
Lineage: Eukaryota; Metazoa; Chordata; Mammalia; Primates; Hominidae
Description: retained intron
Source: RNAcentral
GAGGUGGGUUGGGCCGGGCCGGUUGCUAAGACUUGGCGAAGCGCUGCGCUCGCGCCCGGAUCCCUCAGGCGGCUGCAGGCUUCAGCCUGCGCUGGUCGGUGAAACAGAGAUGUCAGAAAAGGAGAACAACUUCCCGCCACUGCCCAAGUUCAUCCCUGUGAAGCCCUGCUUCUACCAGAACUUCUCCGACGAGAUCCCAGUGGAGCACCAGGUCCUGGUGAAGAGGAUCUACCGGCUGUGGAUGUUUUACUGCGCCACCCUCGGCGUCAACCUCAUCGCCUGCCUGGCCUGGUGGAUCGGCGGAGGCUCGGGGACCAACUUCGGCCUGGCCUUCGUGUGGCUGCUCCUGUUCACGCCUUGUGGCUACGUGUGCUGGUUCCGGCCUGUCUACAAGGCCUUCCGAGCCGACAGCUCCUUUAAUUUCAUGGCGUUUUUCUUCAUCUUCGGAGCCCAGUUUGUCCUGACUGUCAUCCAGGCGAUUGGCUUCUCCGGCUGGGGCGCGUGGUAAGCCUCUCUCUGAUGGGCGUGGUGGCUGUGACGCGGCUCAGCUGCCAGGUUGUGGGCCUGCUGGGAAGCCAGGCGGCCACCGGAGCGUGCUGGUCCUGGAUUGUACGCGCUCUCCUAGGGAGGGGUCUGAGCUCGCCCUGGCAGCGCCCGCGUCCUCGCCAGCGCCCACGUCCUCGCCAGCACCCAGCCAUGGUUCGGGAUUGUAGGCACU